UGGGGAAUAUUGCACAAUGGGCGCAAGCCUGAUGCAGCGACGCCGCGUGAGGGAUGGAGGCCUUCGGGUUGUAAACCUCUUUCGCCAGUGAAGCAGGCCAUCUUCUUUGUGGGGUGGUUGACGGUAGCUGGAUAAGAAGCGCCGGCUAACUACGUGCCAGCAGCCGCGGUAAUACGUAGGGCGCGAGCGUUGUCCGGAAUUAUUGGGCGUAAAGAGCUCGUAGGCGGCUGGUCGCGUCUGUCGUGAAAUCCCCUGGCUUAACUGGGGGCUUGCGGUGGGUACGGGCCGGCUUGAGUGCGGUAGGGUAGACUGGAAUUCCUGGUGUAGCGGUGGAAUGCGCAGAUAUCAGGAGGAACACCGGUGGCGAAGGCGGGUCUCUGGGCCGUUACUGACGCUGAGGAGCGAAAGCGUGGGGAGCGAACAGG
RNAcentral lists this ribosomal RNA (425 nucleotides) under bacterium. Its description in RNAcentral is "partial 16S ribosomal RNA". It matches the Rfam family "Bacterial small subunit ribosomal RNA", at positions 355 to 776 of the family's 1533-position model. The record is from RNAcentral.